GAUGAAGGUAGCGAAAUGCGAUAAGUAAUGCGAAUUGCAGAAUCCGUGAGUCAUCGAAUCUUUGAACGCACAUUGCGCCCUCUGGUAUUCCGGAGGGCAUGCCUGUUCGAGCGUCAUUAUCACCCCUCAAGCCCGGCUUGUUGUUGGAUGCAGCGCUUAUCCCGCUCCUCCCAAAGAUAAUGACGGCGUCUGCGACGACUCCUGUACACUGAGCUUUCGGGCACGUACACGGCUAGAAGUCCAGACCCGGUCGCCGUCCCCCCCGCGGGGACACCCAUUACCACAAGGUUGACCUCGGAUCAGGUAGGAAUACCCGCUGAACUUAAGCAUAUCAAUAAGCGGAGGA
RNAcentral lists this unclassified non-coding RNA (346 nucleotides) under soil metagenome. RNAcentral's name for it is "partial contains 5.8S ribosomal RNA, internal transcribed spacer 2, and large subunit ribosomal RNA". The stretch from base 1 to 116 matches the Rfam family "5.8S ribosomal RNA", at positions 38 to 154 of the family's 154-position model. The record is from RNAcentral.